RNAcentral lists this ribosomal RNA (253 nucleotides) under uncultured bacterium. RNAcentral describes it as "partial 16S ribosomal RNA". It matches the Rfam family "Bacterial small subunit ribosomal RNA", at positions 524 to 776 of the family's 1533-position model. The record is from RNAcentral.
UACGUAGGGCGCAAGCGUUGUUCGGAAUUACUGGGCGUAAAGGGCUCGUAGGCGGCCAACUAAGUCCGACGUGAAAUCCCCAGGCUUAACCUGGGAACUGCGUCGGAUACUGGAUGGCUUGAAUUCGGGAGAGGGAUGCAGAAUUCCAGGUGUAGCGGUGAAAUGCGUAGAUAUCUGGAGGAAUACCGGUGGCGAAGGCGGCAUCCUGGACCGACAUUGACGCUGAUGAGCGAAAGCUAGGGGAGCAAACGGG